This 442-nucleotide ribosomal RNA is filed under the name uncultured bacterium. RNAcentral's name for it is "partial 16S ribosomal RNA". It matches the Rfam family "Bacterial small subunit ribosomal RNA", at positions 338 to 795 of the family's 1533-position model. The record is from RNAcentral.
CCUACGGGCGGCAGCAGUAGGGAAUCUUUCACAAUGGGCGAAAGCCUGAUGGAGCAACGCCGCGUGCAGGAUGAAGGCCUUCGGGUUGUAAACUGCUUUUAUAAGCGAGAAAUAUGAUGGUAACUUAUGAAUAAGGAUCGGCUAACUACGUGCCAGCAGCCGCGGUCAUACGUAGGAUCCGAGCAUUAUCCGGAGUGACUGGGUGUAAAGAGUUGCGUAGGUGGCAUAAUAAGUAGCUAGUGAAAUCGGGUGGCUCAACCAUUCAGACUAUUAGCUAAACUGUUAAGCUCGAGACCGUUAGGGGUAACUGGAAUUUCUAGUGUAGGAGUGAAAUCCGUAGAUAUUAGAAGGAACACCAAUAGCGUAGGCAGGUUACUGGGACGGUUCUGACACUAAGGCACGAAAGCGUAGGGAGCAAACGGGAUUAGAUACCCCUGUAGUC